GAGGAAUAUUGGUCAAUGGGCGAGAGCCUGAACCAGCCAAGUCGCGUGAAGGAAGACUGCCUUAUGGGUUGUAAACUUCUUUUAUACAGGAAUAAAAAGGCUUACGUGUAGGCCAUUGCAAGUACUGUAUGAAUAAGCAUCGGCUAACUCCGUGCCAGCAGCCGCGGUAAUACGGAGGAUGCGAGCGUUAUCCGGAUUUAUUGGGUUUAAAGGGUGCGCAGGCGGGCUUUUAAGUCAGCGGUGAAAUCUGGACGCUUAACGUCCAAACUGCCGUUGAAACUGGUUCCCUUGAGUGCGGAUGAGGUAGGCGGAAUUUGUGGUGUAGCGGUGAAAUGCAUAGAUAUCACGAGGAACUCCGAUUGCGCAGGCAGCUUACCAAGCCGUAACUGACGCUCAAGCACGAAGGCGUGGGGAUCAAACA
This 421-nucleotide ribosomal RNA is filed under the name uncultured Porphyromonadaceae bacterium. RNAcentral's name for it is "bacterial SSU rRNA". It matches the Rfam family "Bacterial small subunit ribosomal RNA", at positions 356 to 774 of the family's 1533-position model. Lineage: Bacteria; Pseudomonadati; Bacteroidota; Bacteroidia; Bacteroidales; Porphyromonadaceae. The record is from RNAcentral.